CGACUAUCUAUAAGACAAUCCUUAUUCGAAAUAGAAUACCCUUCGUACUUCCGGGUAUUCGAAGAUCGAGUUUGAAUAAAACGCCCCCUCCGUAUUCGAAUUCGAAUACCAGGUAUUCGAAUUUUUGCAUCAGCGUCAGUAAACGUUGCCAUCCAAGAGAUAUUUAUCAAUAAAAAUCAUUUUAAAAUACAGAAUACUGGAUAGAAAUCCCACAAAUAAUUCUUAGACACCGGGAUUUGAUUUAAUAUAACAGAUUUAGCAAUAUUGAAACAAUAAAUAUUUUUUGUCAAAUCUAAUUUGAAAUAUGGCAAACAUCCAGCAUGCAAAAAAAGUUAAUGACGGUCGUCAGUGCAGACAAUUUUGACAGUUAUGUGAUUGAGGGCUUUAAUGGAAUCUAAAACUUGUAUCUCAACUUUAUCUGCAGAAGACCUGCGGUUGCAUCUCCUUUCGACUAACAAACUGCCGGCUGUAAUUCCAGAAAAAUUGCUAGGUCAUAGUAACAGAACUUUGUAUUGUGGGAACGCUGACUGCAAGGCUGGCUUCAACAGUUUUGCUAAAUAUAGAGACCACGUUAUCAAUUGUUUAGUUAAAGAUCCACAACCAGAUGUUAGACAAGUACUUCCUGAUGUUUCUUUUCAACAUAUCGAACCAGGAGUAACUGAUUUCGAUGUUAGUGAUCCUUUACAGCAGGACAGUUUUCACCAAGCGAAUGCAACAGCAGAUAAAACAACUCAGAGAUUAGCUAGAUUCUUUCUUGAAUUGAGGGCCAAACACAAUGUUAGUCAUUGUGUUCAACCUUAUUUUCCUGCUAAAUCUAUUAUGAUUGCACAUGAUAAUUUGAGACCAAAUGUUGCUCCAACAUGGUUAUUAAAAAGUUUUAAUGUUUCCGAAAAUGUCUCUUACGUAACUGUUCGUUAUUUUGUCUAAAAUUAACAUAUUUCUCAUUCCUUUUAAAUAGCUGCUGAUAUUGAUGGACAGUGCCUUCUCUGUUUAGAUGAAGCAAAUGUUGAAGUACUUCAACUAACACUGGGACACAAGAUGAAACUGCUUAGUUUCAUAAAAACAAUCAAAAGUCAGCAGCCCCAAGAGCAAGAAAAGGAAUCUACUGGAAUUGUGGCUUGUGAUCCUACGAUAGAAUACGAACCAAUCGUCAACGAGAAUCAGAUACUUGAUAUCAUUGUGACGGACCAACCUUCAAAUAACAAUGUGAUUGAUUUCAACGUCAACGACAUUUUAAAUGCGACCGACGAGGGGAAAGUAAUUGUGCAAAACUACCUGGAACGACUUGAGGCUUUCAUUACUGAAAAAGAGCGCAUCACAAUUGUUCAGAUCCUAGUGAAUCGCUUAGUGACAUUGAGGAAUGCGUUUUCGAUAUUAAAAUUCCUUCUCCCUCAGUAACAGCCUUUAGAGCAUCCCUAGAAUGUUUAA
This is an RNA transcript of Daphnia magna, 1428 nucleotides long. RefSeq lists it as uncharacterized. Lineage: Eukaryota; Metazoa; Arthropoda; Branchiopoda; Diplostraca; Daphniidae. The record is from RefSeq and is a predicted model, not a curated record. The transcript is spliced from 3 exons.